RNAcentral lists this long non-coding RNA (250 nucleotides) under Elaeis guineensis (African oil palm). RNAcentral describes it as "long non-coding RNA (EGUI_LNC056658)". The record is from RNAcentral. Lineage: Eukaryota; Viridiplantae; Streptophyta; Magnoliopsida; Arecales; Arecaceae.
UCGCUACUUUCUACGUAUUUUUAAUUUUUAUAAAAGUUAAAAUUAAUUUGAUAAGCAUAGUAUUCUAACGACAACAUCGCAAUCCUAUCAGGUGAUAUGCUGGAAAAGUUUUAAGCAGCACACUGUAACCAAUUUUGUAUGCGAGGUGGACUAUAUUAUGACUUCCGAUACUGUCAAAGAAGUAGUUUGGUUGAGAAAGUUCAUCAAUGAGCUUGGAGUGGCAUCUUCUAUUGAUGUUCAUAUUCUGCUG